GUGGGGAAUCUUCCGCAAUGGACGAAAGUCUGACGGAGCAACGCCGCGUGAGUGAUGAAGGUCUUCGGAUUGUAAAGCUCUGUUAAUCGGGACGAAAGAGCCUAGUGUGAAUAAUGCUAGGAAGUGACGGUACCGGAAUAGAAAGCCACGGCUAACUACGUGCCAGCAGCCGCGGUAAUACGUAGGUGGCAAGCGUUGUCCGGAAUUAUUGUGCGUAAAGCGCGCGCAGGCGGAUCUGCCAGUCUGUCUUAAAAGUUCGGGGCUUAACCCCGUGAUGGGAUGGAAACUACAGAUCUAGAGUAUCGGAGAGGAAAGUGGAAUUCCUAGUGUAGCGGUGAAAUGCGUAGAUAUUAGGAAGAACACCAGUGGCGAAGGCGACUUUCUGGACGAAAACUGACGCUGAGGCGCGAAAGCCAGGGGAGCGAACGGGAUUAGAUACCCGAGUAGUCC
This 450-nucleotide ribosomal RNA is filed under the name uncultured bacterium. RNAcentral's name for it is "partial 16S ribosomal RNA". It matches the Rfam family "Bacterial small subunit ribosomal RNA", at positions 354 to 796 of the family's 1533-position model. The record is from RNAcentral.